Molecule: long non-coding RNA, 1180 nt
Filed under: Oncorhynchus kisutch (coho salmon)
Lineage: Eukaryota; Metazoa; Chordata; Actinopteri; Salmoniformes; Salmonidae
Description: lncRNA (ENSOKIG00005019634.1)
Source: RNAcentral
GAAAGUUAAGAACACUUUUAUCAGGCAUCCUGUUGAACACCACUUCCUGUACCUUCUACCUGGUGCAUACUGCAAUAUGAUGGCACAACCCACUGUGACACCAGUGGUGCAAGUGUAUUUUUUAAUCAAGCAAAUUCUGAGAGCUAACCUAUCAUAUAGUUAAAACAUAGGGGAUCUGGACAAAUUUGGACAGGAUGCUAAUCUUUGCCCAUUUGCCAUUGCUGCUUCUUUUGGGAAACCAAGAUUCAGUAACCUGUAUCGACCUGGAGAAACAGCAUGAAGUCAUCUAUGCAGUAGUUGGAGAACCUCUAGUAUUGAACUGCACCUACAACUGCUCAUCUGGAUUUGUCCGUGGCCACUGGAUCAAAGUCUCAGACUGUCCUCAUUGUCCUAGGCCAAGAGAAACAACAAAUGUCACAAAGAAUGGUGACCUCUGCACACUACCAUUGUAUUUUCCACAUCUGUCCACAGAAGAUUUUCGGUACAACUAUACCUGCUUUUCUGAAGAUCACGAAAGCAAAGAUUUCUCACGCAAGAUAGAGAUUUUGGUAUCACUGCAGGCACAAGGUCGACAUAGUGCCCCGGCCACAACGGUCACUACUGAUGUGUCGGUGACAGCGUUGAGUAACCACGAAGACUCAAUAAUAGAUAAUGAGGCAUUCACAGUUGUCAAAGUGUUGGCAACAGUGACAGUUAUUGUGGCUGCUGUGUUGGCAGCUGUGGCUGUCUACUUAUGUAUGAGCCGCAAUCGAUAUUGCAAAGGAAAACCUGCUGUUAUCUGUACAGGCACAACAUCAAGAGAAGGAUCUAGUGUUGGAAGGUCGACAACAGGUGCAUGCUUAACUAAUUGUGAGAGGGUGGCACUGAGAAUAACUCCAGCUGAUUGCCAGAGUGAUCAUGAGGUUCCUUAUGCUGACAUAAUGAUUACUAUGCGAGGGGCCAGCACACCUGAACUCACACAGAUCUCCUACCUAGCACCGGGGGAUCAUAGAGAGAGGUGGAGAGAAGAGGCAGGCCCUGAAGCUAGGUCCACCCUGCAGGCCUCCCGCUCAGCUGAUAGACUGCAUGUCCAGCCCCGAGAGGUCUCCAGGAAGAUGAGCACAAACUCUGAGUACGCUGUCAUCACCUACUCUUAACCAGUGAGGCUGGAGAUGGUAAAAGAGGGAAUAAGAGAGAGCAA